Molecule: ribosomal RNA, 392 nt
Filed under: uncultured bacterium
Lineage: Bacteria
Description: bacterial SSU rRNA
Rfam family: Bacterial small subunit ribosomal RNA
Source: RNAcentral
GACGAACGCUGGCGGCGUGCUUAACACAUGCAAGUCGAGCGGUAAGGCCCUUUCGGGGUACGACGAGCGGCGAACGGGUGAGUAACAACGUGGGUGACCUGCCCUCAGCUCUGGGAGUAAGCCUGGGAAACCGGGUACUAAUACCGGAUAUGACUCCAUGACGCAUGUUGUGGGGUGGAAAGCCUUGUGCGGCUGAGGAUGGGCCCGCGGCCUAUCAGCUUGUUGGUGGGGUGAUGGCCUACCAAGGCGACGACGGGUAGCCGGCCUGAGAGGGCGACCGGCCACACUGGGACUGAGACACGGCCCAGACUCCUACGGGAGGCAGCAGUGGGGAAUCUUGCGCAAUGGGCGAAAGCCUGACGCAGCGACGCCGCGUGAGGGAUGACGGGCCU